AUAAAUUUCAUUCAACACAUUCAAGCGAUAUAGACCAUCACUUAAAAAGGCAUCAACAACAACAUGUGAAUCAUAAAAAAGUUUAAUAAUACCAUUAUUUUGUUGAAAUGAAUAACUAGCUUUGUCCAAAAGUGAAACUGAAAUUAAUUUCCGUCUCAUAGACGGUACAAAAAUAGUAUUUUCUAAACGAAUACUAGAAUUAUUUUAAAAGAUAAAAUAGAUGUCCUUAUAAACUCUACUUUUGCUUUGAGUCCAUUGCCCACAACAACACUGGCUUCAUUCUCUUUUUGCUUCCGUCUGCUUACUAGAUCCUGCAAGUCAUUGGUUACAUGAAUAGUUGCACUAAUAUCCAACCACCAGGAAUUUAAAGGAACAUGAACAAGACUAGUUUCAAAGAAGACAAAAGCCAAAAGAUUACCUGGUUUCUUUUUCAGAGGACAACCAACUUUCUUAUGACCUACUUGUUUGCAAUCCCAACACUUGUUUGUUAAUUACAUCUUAAGGACCAAGCGAAUUAUGAGACUGGCCUUGGUUAACACCAGGCUUAUUAGUAUGAUUACUAUUACCACCUAGAUGAUGAGACUGACCAUGAUUCGUUUUAUGAAAUUUGGGUCCACCUUUUCUUUUAUAAGAGGGAUAAUCAGUUGAUCUAGACGAAUUAACAAGCUUCACUACACCCUCAAUUUUCUCCAUUUGGAUCCACCCUUCCUCUACCACACAAACAAUAAUAAGCUCAUCAACACUAUACUUAUCUUUUUGUGCAUUAUAGGUUGUCUUAAGUUGGUUAAACUGUUCAGGAAGGGACCUUAGAGAUUGGUGAACAAGAAAAUCAUCGAUAAUAGUUACACCUAAAUUAUUCGAUUUGGUAGCAAUGUUAACCAAUUUCACAAUAUGAUUACGGACACUACCUAUAAGGUCAUACUAUAUGGUGGAUAGAGAAUCAAUCAGACUACUUAUCUCAGCUUUAUCAGAUUCUAGGAAUUUCUGUCCAGUGGCACUCAAGAAAUCCAUUGCAUUUUCAUUAUCCUUAAUUUCACCUUUAUGUGAUCAAACAUGGAUCUCUUCAUAAUCAUAAAGCUCAAUUUGUUAGACUUUAUCUAUUUCUCAUACUUAUCCUUUUCAUCAGCAGUGCUAGUAGUUGUAGGUUCAGCAGGUUUCUGUUCAGUCAAUGCAAAGUCCAUGUCCAUCAGACCUAACACUAUUUCAACAUCACGUUUCCACUUCUUAUAGUUGAUACUAGUCAGAGUUUCAAUGGAAUUCAACUGAGUAGUCAUGUUGUUAACAGCUGUAUAAGCAAACAACACAAAAAUUAGAGAAAUCAUGGGCAUGAAUAUAUAAACCAAAAGAGUCAAAGACAACUAUUGCACCCCUCCUUUGGGUAGAAGAUGCAACUAUCUCCCCUUUAAGACCAAAGAGUCCAAGGCAUUCAUUGCAUCCUCACCUUUAGGCAAGAGAUACAAAACCUCAUCCCCAUAUCAUCAAACAGUACAAGGCAUACAUUAUAUCCUUCCUUUAGGUAAGAGAUACAAAACCUCUUGUUAUAACAAAUUGUCCUCUUUUAUACACAUGAGAAUUCAAGAUAUUAUAUUCCUUCUUUAGGUAGAAAACACAAUAUAUAUUCUCAUUAAUUAAUUUAGCGUCACUAGUAUCAAAAGGUAAAUAACCCCCAACACUAAUGUACACCUUUCAAAGACAAUUUAGACAUGGUACACAUAGAAUAUUUCAAUGAGUCUAACAAAUAGACCAUUUUGAUGGAAACUAUUUAUUAAUCAUAAAUCUCAAUCCAUGUAUAAUAUUAUUUCACAUAUAUAAAGUUCUAAGAAUUUUCAAUGAUUCCAAAUAAAUAAACCACUUUGGUAGUAACUGUUUAUCAAUUAUAAAUUCUUAUUUAAACAAUCAUAUACAUGUGAGAUUAAAUAAGCCCAUAUACAAUUAAAUCUUUUAGUGUUAUUUUAAUUUGAUUCCAUCCUCAGACUUAAAAAGAACAACUACUCGGAAAAAUUUAAGAGAUCAAAACAAAUUUUAUUGAAACACAGUAGAAUUGUUCUAUUAUUUCCAGCAUGUAAACAUCAAUACAAAUUCUAUUGAAAAGGUAAUUGUUCUACAACCAAACCGAAAAGUCAGACUUGGCAGCCUAAUGAGAUAUAUGAUUAAGGAUCACAUUCUUUCUCAGAGAAAGAACAAAUAGGAUAGUACUUGUAAUUAUCAAACUUCAAAUCAACAUAUCACAGUAAAUAAAGAAGAACAUGCCAAAGAUAUAAAGUUUGGCAAGACAAAAGAAACACCACACGGCCUUUCGCCGCUAUCGGCUUUCAGUGGCUAAAACUUAUGUGAUUUAAUUAUUUAAUCAUAUCAUAGCACAACUAAUUUAAACAAAGAAAAACACUUUAUCUAUUUUGUUUGUUUUACCAUCGCCGCCUCUAAUGCACUCAAAACCGUCACCGACUUUCGGCGAUGGAACAAUAACGGAGAAAGACAGUCUCGAGGCAUCGUCCAAAUUCACAAUAAUUGUUUUUACUUUUAAAAUCAAGAUUAAUUCUUGAUCUUAAUCCCGGUGGCUCUGAAACCAACCGUGAGAUAAUUAAUUCGCAACCAUAGCAGAGAUUAAGAUAACAAUUAUGUAAUCAAUCUAGAGUCAGAAUUUAAGGAAGCGUACCGUUCAACUCCAUCGAUUCAGCAGCGAUAACAAGCGGCGUCGCUCUCAUAGCUCGGAGAACUUGAUUGAUGUGAUGUCUACCGUUACCAUGUAUUCAAGAGACAGAAUACGCUAGGUUUUCUGAUAGUCAGGAAAAUGGGGGUUGACCUCUAUUUAUAAAGAGCGCUUACCUGUUACAGACCAAUUGUUAUUGUGCCUCACUUAUCCACACAUAAUAUAUAAUAUUAGACCUUUUAUUUAUUCACCAUUUGGACCACGUCACUAUCCUUUCAGGCUAUAUUCAAUUGACGUAAUCCCAAAUUCUAACAUGAUUUUCAAAGAAGACUUUGAGCGCUUUCUUUAAGACUUCUCUAGCUUUAGUUAAAU
RNAcentral lists this long non-coding RNA (3022 nucleotides) under Nicotiana tabacum (common tobacco). RNAcentral describes it as "long non-coding RNA (NTAB_LNC018515)". Lineage: Eukaryota; Viridiplantae; Streptophyta; Magnoliopsida; Solanales; Solanaceae. The record is from RNAcentral.